CAGGCCAGUGAUGGGAGUAUGACGGGAACCGGGGAUUAUGAUUAAUGCAAUUUUGUGCACCUGCGGCCCUUU
This 72-nucleotide small nucleolar RNA is filed under the name Tursiops truncatus (common bottlenose dolphin). RNAcentral's name for it is "Small nucleolar RNA SNORD112 (ENSTTRG00000024379.1)". Lineage: Eukaryota; Metazoa; Chordata; Mammalia; Artiodactyla; Delphinidae. The record is from RNAcentral.